GAUGAACGCUGGCGGCGUGCCUAAUACAUGCAAGUCGAGCGAACAGACGAGGAGCUUGCACCUCUGACGUUAGCGGCGGACGGGUGAGUAACACGUGGAUAACCUACCUAUAAGACUGGGAUAACUUCGGGAAACCGGAGCUAAUACUGGAUAAUAUAUUGAACCGCAUGGUUCAAUAGUGAAAGACGGUUUUGCUGUCACUUAUAGAUGGAUCCGCGCCGCAUUAGCUAGUUGGUAAGGUAACGGCUUACCAAGGCAACGAUGCGUAGCCGACCUGAGAGGGUGAUCGGCCACACUGGAACUGAGACACGGUCCAGACUCCUACGGGAGGCAGCAGUAGGGAAUCUUCCGCAAUGGGCGAAAGCCUGACGGAGCAACGCCGCGUGAGUGAUGAAGGUCUUCGGAUCGUAAAACUCUGUUAUUAGGGAAGAACAAAUGUGUAAGUAACUAUGCACGUCUUGACGGUACCUAAUCAGAAAGCCACGGCUAACUACGUG
Molecule: ribosomal RNA, 497 nt
Filed under: uncultured bacterium
Lineage: Bacteria
Description: partial 16S ribosomal RNA
Rfam family: Bacterial small subunit ribosomal RNA
Source: RNAcentral